GCAGGGGCUCCCGCCGGCCCGGCAGCAGCGCCGCGGCCGCGCGAGGCGUUUGGUGUCGGCUGCGGGCCGUCCUGUCAGGGCCCUCUGACGUGCUGCGUGUGCACAGGUGGCUGCGCGGUGCCCGUCAGUGAGCCGCCCGUGGCGGGGUCUGUGUUCGGGGACGGGUGUGUUUGUGGCUGCAGUUGCCGCAGUUCGUCCCGGCCCUCCAGACCUCCCCAGCCCCACUCUCGGCCUCGUGGUCCUGGCAUGCCCGCUGCUUCUGCCCCUCGGAUGCUUCCUCUGGGCUCCGUCCCCAACACGUCCACGUCACGCCUGCUGCCUUAGUCCUGCAGAAAUCCUGCGCUUUGGAUUUGUGCCACCUUCUGUAAGUUGAAAGCUUCUGGACCAAGUGCGGCAGUGAGAUGGAGUCAGAAGAGGAGGUAUUGCCAUCAGAGAGUCAGCAAAAUUGGUUGACCAAGCCCAAAGGAGGGUGCUGAGGGGAGUUGAUGACCUGGACUUUUUCAUAGGGGAUGAAGCCAUAGAUAAACCCACGUAUGCCACAAAGUGGCCAAUAAGACAUGGAAUAAUUGAAGACUGAGAUCUAAUGGAGAGGUUCAUGGAACAAGUUAUUUUUAAUUUUCCCUGAGCUGAAGCUGAGGGCCAUCACUUUUUGAUGAAACCUUCCUAGCAGAUUUGCCCUGUCUGUCCGUGCCCAGUGUGGGCCCUAGAGGGGAACAAAAUUACUUUGGUACAUUUUGAUGAGUCAAGAUUCUCUCCUGUUGCUGGUGAGGGGACCACAUCUCAUCACCUGGCCCCAAGAGACAGAACCUCCUCUGAAUACACCAGAAAAUAAAGAAUAUCUUGCAGAAAUUAUGUUCAAAUUAUUUAAUGUACCGGGACUCUACAUUGCAGUUCAGGACGUUGCAGAGAUGAUGUACUAAUAUGCUGGUGCUUUAAUACCUCAAAGUUCAGAAAUCACUGCAGGGGGAGGCUGAUGUGUCUACAGUCAGGAGGAAAAAUCCAAAUCUUUCCCCUCUGUCAUUGCACCCUGCCAGUGUCCCCUUUGCCCGGGGGUGAGGAGAGGCAGGAGGCCUGCAGAGCAUGCUCUGUGCUCGCAGCCCCUUCAUCCAGUCUCGGAACACUGCCCCCUCCUGGGUGUGAGGUGUUUAGGUGCCACUUGCUGUGUGGCCCUGCCUGGCUCCUCUCUGAGGUCACGUCCUCAGAGGUCAGUGCAGGCCAAGGUCAGGGCCUGUGCCUGUGGGUCUGCUUCCUGGCCUCCCCUGUGCAUCUGAAACAAGUUUCACACUACGUGCAGGCCCACAGAGAAAGUUGUUGUUCAAAUUUUUCUCUGUUUCUUAAUGCAGUUUUUUCCCCCUAUUUAUAAAAAUUACAUUUACUGUACAAAAUUUAGGUAAAAUGGAGAAAUGUAAAGAAGAAAAUAGAAUGACCCUCAAACCUGCCCAGAGGACUGUGCCACACUUUUUUGGUAUAGUCUACUGAGCUCUUUUUCUUAGACAAACAACACACAUUUUAAGCACAGUUGGGAUACCCUCCAUCUGAUUUCAUGUUCUAAUUGUACAAUGUGCUCCUGAGGUUGUAUUUUGCAUAUUGACUUAUCCCUGAUGUAUCUUUAUGGUUAAAUACUCUGUGGAAAGAUAUUUAGUAACUACCUGACAGCCCAUCAUGUGGGUGUAGCACAACUCACUUACUUGUUUUCCUACCAUUGGCUGUGGUUUGUUUUAAUAUAUUUAAUUUGUGAUGAAGCUGAUACUCAAAAUGGGUUGAAUUAAUUUUAGAAAAUGUUAUAUGUAAUAUAUUGAGUAUAGAAAUUGUGAAUAGUUUCUGUUUGUGAGAGCUACUGUUCUUAUGAUUUUUUUAUUUUAAUAAUGUGUACAUAUCUUUUAUCUUGAUCUUAAAUAUUUUACAAUUGGCUUGGGCUCCUGAGAAAGGCUACACACUCUCUCACUUCUAGAAGUUGGGCACCUCAGAAGACAUAAGAGGAAUUCAGUCACCUGUUCUUGCAACUUCAGUGGUAACUGUGCUUAUAGAUAGUGGAACUGAUCCAUCUGUCAGAUGGAUGAGGAUUUGCUCCAGCCUUCUGUCUCCAUGAGUGUGUGACAAGCAGCCAGUGCCAUCAGGGAGCUCAGAGUGCCUCCUCUACCUGGUGCAGGUGGAAGGUUAGGUAAUUGGAAGCUGCAUCAAACACAUCCCUAUUGCAGGUAGAGAUAUGUAUUUCAUUCAACAGCUGCCAAGUGAGAGGGAGGUGGGAUUCCCUCCUGAGCAACCACUGGAGACCACAAAGGCCAUUAAGGAGAAGUACUGUCACAUUUGCCCCAAUAUAGUCAAGAAGUUUGCCAAGUAUGACGUGGAUCAGCAGAAGUGGAUCAAACAGCAAACAGGGAACAAUGCCAUAAGCCAGAAGAAAUUCAUUAUCGAUGUUGGCUAGGAAAGUUUCCCAGGCCCUGAAAUUUUCUUUCACCCAGAGAUACUGAUUAACAUGCCAAGUAUAAUGCCUGGCCCAGGAAGCUCAGGAGAUGAAUCAAAUAACUUGACCAUGAAGGAGCACUGAGGAGGAGGCAGAGAUGAUCUCUGGCAUGGGUAUUAUUAUAGGCAUACUACAAGGCUCAGAGGCAGUGCAGAGGAAGAAAUGAGGAGCUCUUGGAAGUGGUGGGCAGAGGGCAAGUGUUUGGAAUGUUCUUUAAGAAUAGGUACACUUGAACUGACUCUUAAAAGAUGAGCAGGUGUUUGACAAGGCAAUGUGAACACCACAGAUAGAGGGGAGUGAAGCCACCUGGAAUCCUUCCUCUCUGCACUGCAAACAGUUUGGGAUGGUUGGUGCAUAUGGCACGUGACUGUGCACAUUCUGUCCAUGUUGUGUGCACUGAUGAUUUAGAAAUGACAGAAGGGCAAGUGGUGAAGCUGGAGAGAUGCAGAAGCACACAGAGGAAGACUGCCUUACAUGGUUCUUCAAGGUAUUUGGACAUGAUCCUGUGGCAAAGCAAGUCAUUACAUGAUUAUUAAACUAAGCAGUAUUGGUGUGGAAUUUGCCUUCCACAACAAUUAUUUUCCUGCAGUGUGGAUGACAAAUUUGGGAGGUGGAAGAGGGGAAAGAAUACAAACUGAACUGCUGGUUGGAAGACAAUUAUCAGUGGUCCUGGAAAGACUCAAGGCAAUCAAGAAGCUGUGAAGGAAGGGUGCUGAAGGGAGAGACCUUAAGGAUAUGGCCUCUGGACAAACUGAUUACUAUUGUUUAAGGAGUAG
This is an RNA transcript of Camelus dromedarius (Arabian camel), 3240 nucleotides long. It is a transcript of the gene named actin-related protein 3B-like, with no coding region annotated. The transcript is spliced from 9 exons. The record is from RefSeq and is a predicted model, not a curated record. Lineage: Eukaryota; Metazoa; Chordata; Mammalia; Artiodactyla; Camelidae.